RNAcentral lists this ribosomal RNA (254 nucleotides) under uncultured bacterium. RNAcentral describes it as "partial 16S ribosomal RNA". It matches the Rfam family "Bacterial small subunit ribosomal RNA", at positions 524 to 776 of the family's 1533-position model. The record is from RNAcentral.
UACGUAGGGUGCAAGCGUUGUCCGGAAUUAUUGGGCGUAAAGAGCCUCGUAGGCGGUUUGUCGCGUCGUUUGUGAAAACCCGGGGCUCAACUUCGGGCUUGCAGGCGAUACGGGCAGACUUGAGUGUUUCAGGGGAGACUGGAAUUCCUGGUGUAGCGGUGAAAUGCGCAGAUAUCAGGAGGAACACCGGUGGCGAAGGCGGGUCUCUGGGCCGAUACUGACGCUGAGGAGCGAAAGCGUGGGGAGCGAACAGG